Spinacia oleracea (spinach) is the source of this 1867-nucleotide long non-coding RNA. RefSeq lists it as uncharacterized. The transcript is spliced from 2 exons. The record is from RefSeq and is a predicted model, not a curated record. Lineage: Eukaryota; Viridiplantae; Streptophyta; Magnoliopsida; Caryophyllales; Amaranthaceae.
UUUUGAAUGAAUGAUUCCCUUGUCAUUCCCCUAAUUUUCCAAACAAACCUAGACCAAUUCGGUACAUGGAAAUAACCAGGCCACCUCGCAUAAUUCUCACACCUAAUGAAUACCUCAUGCGCCCUUACAAUGUGGUCUAGCAAGAAUAUUUCAAAAAACGUUAUACUAGUAUCGAGAUGCAUUUCCAUAACAUGGACGACAUCCAUGCAAGAUGCCAUAUGGAUCGUACACUACUACAAAAGUUAGAAUAAGAAACGCAAGAUAUAAAACGGUUAAGUUAGAAGAGCGCUUUCCGCAAGUAUAGAGUACGCUUUUCUUAGUUCAUUGUUAUGUGAGAAAAAUAAUACAAAGCGCCUAUCUUGAUACCUGUUUUUUGUGAAGUUCUCUCAAUAAGUAAUUAAUUCAACAAAUAAAUUUUCUACAAUAUGCAGCGGUGUUCUGAUACAACCGCUUAAUAUCUUUUACCAAAAUAAAUAAAUAAAUAAGAUUUCAUUUCCCCUCAAAUGAAAACCUAACUCCAAACCCUCACACUACUCAAGCAGCCACACUACAAAACCUCCUCCAUAUCAAAUACUUCCUCCAUUUUUUAAUAAUUGCACCAUCUUGGUUUUAUCACUAUUCACAUAUUCUUAUAUAGUUAAUUUUUGUGAUUUAUAUGUAACGAAAAAUAUAUUCAUGUGGGAUCUUGUUAGAUUCGUCUCGAAAUAUACUUUCGAAUGAUCAAAUUUUUAUAAUUUUUUAAAAGGUAUAAUGAGAGAUAUUAGUGAUUAAAAUAAUGCAUUGGUAAGCGUGAAAUCCCAGAUGGUGCAAUUAAAAAAAAAUGGAGGAAGUAUAUUCUCUAAUAUCCCAUUCUUUUCUAGUUCUCUGAUCUCUGUGUUAUUUCUACACCCAAAUAUGGAAUAAUUAACUAGAAGAUCAUAAAUUAAAAACCUAACUUUACAACUUCACCUCCUCUAGCCGUCUCUUCAAAUUCGAUCCUCUUUUCUGAACUUUUUCAUUCUCCUCAAAUUUUGUUUGGUGAGCUUUGUGAUUUGAAUCAAUUCACUUCUGCUAUUUAGAGCUGCUAGUGGUUUAUCGUUCUCCACCUAUUCUCAACUAUAUUUCUGCAAUUAUAAAUUCUUUUGUUUUCUCUCGUCUUGUUCUUCCCUAAAUCAAAAUGAUGAGAGGGAAAAUCAAACCAUACUAUCACUAUGAAGAUUAUCCGUCGGAAUUUCGUUCGCGACGGCCCUGGCAGCGUCAAGGAAUAAUAGUGACAAUUGAGUGAAAUAUCAGAUGGGGGAUUGAGAAAAUCUCUGCGUUGUACAUUUAUUUGUAUAUUGCAUCUCCAAGGCAAGAUUUUCCACUCUGAUACAAGUCAGAAAAUGAAAGGUUCACCAUCAGCGGAAACAGUAAAAUAAUUGUCAGAAAUUCACAGUUGCAUUGCCUUAUUCUCGAUGAAAUCAUGGGCUCUUAAUACCAGCAGAAUCCAAAUGGUAAACAAGAUUACUUGCGCACUAGCGGCUGUUUAAGAGAUGCUAGAGGGUUUGAAGAUUUGCAGUGGUGGUUAGAUGCAGUUAGAAAGCAAGUCUCGAGUUCAAGUUCUACCUAAUAUGCUUGCUGAAUGUAUUUACAAUCUGUGACUGCAGAAGUGCAGAGGAAUGGAAAAUUUUCUCCCCAGAGUUGCAAAACUCCAGCAAGUGCAACUAAUGCUUAAUUGUUUGCUCUUGAGGUGUAAACAGCUUGUUGUCGUUUUUUUCUUUUUGCUUUUGAGGCUUUGGGGUUGUUGUACACCUUUUUUCAUUGCUAAUAAAUUCCCCAAAAAAAAGUACGCCUUUUUUGUUGUUGUUAUUUUGCUUUUGAGGAAUAUAAGUUGAUUUAUUUGUGUUAA